GUGAUUGUAAAUUGUCUUACCUUCAGUGCUGGCUUUGUCUUAGCAUGUGCACGCUGGGAGGGCAUAUUUAUCCAUCCAAUACCCUUUUGUGAACCUCUGGCCUUCACCAGCUUCGGCUGGUAGAGGAAUUUUACACCCUCACGAAUGUAAUGAGAUAAACCCUUGUUGUGCAAUAGCACUACAAAAAUA
This 189-nucleotide unclassified non-coding RNA is filed under the name uncultured Basidiomycota. RNAcentral's name for it is "sequence contains ITS1". Lineage: Eukaryota; Fungi; Basidiomycota. The record is from RNAcentral.